GUAAAAGAUACAAAGCAAACAAGACAGGGAGGGAACAGUACCAGGUCUUUCAAAAGAGGUAAGGUCAGAGUGAAGUGAACUGCAACACUGACAGAGGCUUGCAGGCUUACGUGCAGAAAUGGGAAGUAGAAAAAGAAAUGGGAAUUUUCUGAAUAUAGAGUGUGAAAGCUGAGCUGGGACUUUGAAGUACGUGGUUUACAGGAAGUAAAGGUAAUGUCAUUUAAAACACACACGUAUACUGACAUGGGUGUACCUCCUGCUGCCCCCAUCCAGGCUGAAAUCAUGGAUGGUGGAGGAAUAGCAAGACAGAAGAUACUUCACCUGACCAAAAGACAAGAGUGGUACUGUCACAAACCAACCAUUCUGAUAGCAGUUAAGUUUUUAACUACUGAAAUUUUGUACAGUGUGGAACACAGAAGACUACAUACACUUGCCUGCAAAUCUAUAGCCUCAGCCCCAUCCCUUCAGUUGAAGACCGAAGACUUUUGACACAGCACUGCAUUUAAGCUUCACAGGAAAUAAAACUACAAAUUAUAUACUUGUU
Long non-coding RNA from Cygnus olor (mute swan), 544 nucleotides. RefSeq lists it as uncharacterized. NCBI's taxonomy places the organism in Eukaryota, Metazoa, Chordata, Aves, Anseriformes, Anatidae. The transcript has 2 exons. The record is from RefSeq and is a predicted model, not a curated record.